UACGUAGGGGGCUAGCGUUGUCCGGAUUUAUUGGGCGUAAAGAGCGUGUAGGCGGCCAGGUAGGUCUGCUGUGAAAACUCGAGGCUCAACCUCGAGAUGUCGGCGGAAACCAUCUGGCUAGAGUCCGGAAGAGGAGAGUGGAAUUCCUGGUGUAGCGGUGAAAUGCGCAGAUAUCAGGAAGAACACCCGUGGCGAAGGCGGUUCUCUGGGCCUGUACUGACGCUGAGGAGCGAAAGCGUGGGGAGCGAACAGG
RNAcentral lists this ribosomal RNA (253 nucleotides) under uncultured bacterium. RNAcentral describes it as "partial 16S ribosomal RNA". It matches the Rfam family "Bacterial small subunit ribosomal RNA", at positions 524 to 776 of the family's 1533-position model. The record is from RNAcentral.